GUGCUAGAAUUAAAGCAAAGAUCAAUGAUGUAGUUCUGAGUUAUAUGUAUGGUACAAUCACCGGUGAAAUCGAUGAAUUUGGUUUCACAUUUCAUAAUUAAUUAUUGUGAGAAUAUCGAGGUAAUGUGCUGAUUGUUUAUGGGUUAUAAACCAUAUUGGUUUGAUAAUAUUAUAAAUAUUGAUAUGGUAGAGGAUGUAGUUAUAUUAUACUUAGUUAUCUAGAAGAGAGUUAGUUUUGGUAUAUGCUGUGAAAAUUUAUUGUAAAUCAAUAUUUAUGUAUUCAUAAAUAAUAAAAUAUAAGCACUAGCACAACACCAGUAAAUAAUAU
Molecule: small RNA, 328 nt
Filed under: Rickettsia prowazekii
Lineage: Bacteria; Pseudomonadati; Pseudomonadota; Alphaproteobacteria; Rickettsiales; Rickettsiaceae
Description: partial sR69 non-coding RNA
Source: RNAcentral